CUUGAAUCAAAUAAACGGGGAAUUUUUGGUGACUGGGCUUCAUCCACAGCUUAAAAUAUUAGAUAAUGGUCGUAUUCAAUUCAGUUCCAUUUGGAAUUUGUUUAUUGAACGUGAAGAUGCAAUCGAUUCAUUUUUAACUAAAUCAACUUUGGACAUUUUGACAAAUGAAAAUUACGAAAGUAACAUUGACACGUUAUACACUGUUUCACCCUAGGGAACAUAGUUUUAUUGAUCCACGUGUAAUGGAACCCGAGUCUAUGAAACGCAUUGAUGAAGUUUUCGACUUUGAACUUCCAAUUUUAAGAGCACGCAUGGAUUUCAAUUCAGUUGUUUGUUUCAGUCAUUUCAAUCUCACCAUAUGAUCAAAUCUAUUUGAUUUUUAGGUUUACAAAAAUAUUUCGAAUAGAAUCCGAGACUUUUUUUUCGGCGGCGGCAAAAUCAACCGGACGCACAUUUUACAGACAGUAAUUAAACAUUUUUAUUUGAAGAAUUUUGUUCUCGAUUCAAAUUUAAACGAAUUGUCCAAAUAUUUCAGUAUUUCUGUUGACACUGAUUUUAGCUACAGCAACAAAUACACAAAAGUUGCAAAUCUUCCGAUAAAGUUUUCAAUGCACGUAGAUGUGUUGAAUUAUUUGUUUCAGCGACCGAUUGGGAACAUUUUUCCCGACGACGACUAUAAAUUCCUCAACAAAAACUUGGUUCCGCGCCAAAUUAUUGAAAAUACUGCCAAGUUUUAUGCUGAUUUUGUAAAGUUUGGGAAUCCAAUGCCGAAUAAAGGUCCAAUCGUGCUUAAAAUGCCAAACUCAACUCAUUUGAAUUACUCUGACAUCAGAAACGAUGGAAUUUUUGCAGAAACCGAUUUAUACUUCGAUCG
Contarinia nasturtii (swede midge) is the source of this 874-nucleotide long non-coding RNA. RefSeq lists it as uncharacterized. Lineage: Eukaryota; Metazoa; Arthropoda; Insecta; Diptera; Cecidomyiidae. The transcript has 4 exons. The record is from RefSeq and is a predicted model, not a curated record.